UCCCUGGUAGUAUAUCGGUUUAGUACACGCGCCUGUCAUACCCAUUGACAAUAGAAAAGUACCGCGCGAAAGCUGGGUUCGACUCCCAGCCAGGGAG
Molecule: transfer RNA, 97 nt
Filed under: Lentinula raphanica
Lineage: Eukaryota; Fungi; Basidiomycota; Agaricomycetes; Agaricales; Omphalotaceae
Description: tRNA-Asp
Source: RNAcentral